UUUAACCCUAAUAUGAAUAAAAUCUCAUAUUA
RNAcentral lists this transfer RNA (32 nucleotides) under Glossiphonia baicalensis. RNAcentral describes it as "partial tRNA-Leu". RNAcentral also lists the same sequence under 1 other name. The record is from RNAcentral. Lineage: Eukaryota; Metazoa; Annelida; Clitellata; Rhynchobdellida; Glossiphoniidae.